GGAGUUUGUGUGCCAUACAGCAUUCUUCACCAGCAUUGUGGUCGUGCAGUGGGCCGAUCUGAUUAUCUGCAAGACCAGGCAUAAUUCAGUCUUCCAGCAGGGAACGAAGAACAAAAUCCUGAUCUUUGGAUUGUUUGAGGAAACAGCACUGGCGGCUUUCUUGUCUUAUUGCCCUGGCAUGGAUGUGGCUUUCAGAAUGUAACCACUCAAGCCCAACUGGUGGUUCUGUUCCUUCCCGUACUCUCUUCUCAUCUUUAUUUAUGAUGAAAUCAGAAAGCUCAUCCUUAGACAGAACCCCAGAGCUAAUCAGGAAACUGCAACCUUGCUCUAACCAAAUGUACUGUAUUGUUGGAUUUAAAUGAAUAGUAUACAAAUGUAUAUCCAAGUAGUGUAAGGGUUCAUCAUUUUAUGUUUUUCAACUGUAAAAGUAAAGUUUUAUUUUUUCUUUCUUUGCAGGUUGGGUGGAAAGAGAGACAUACUACUAAAGUGUU
Long non-coding RNA from Cyprinus carpio (common carp), 491 nucleotides. RefSeq lists it as uncharacterized. The transcript is spliced from 3 exons. The record is from RefSeq and is a predicted model, not a curated record. Lineage: Eukaryota; Metazoa; Chordata; Actinopteri; Cypriniformes; Cyprinidae.